GCCUUGGUAGUUCAGCUGGGAGAGCAUGAGACUUUUAAUCUCAGGGUUGUGGGUUCAAGUCCCAUGUUCGGCA
This 73-nucleotide transfer RNA is filed under the name Podarcis lilfordi (Lilford's wall lizard). It matches the Rfam family "tRNA". From Rfam's summary of the family: Transfer RNA (tRNA) molecules are approximately 80 nucleotides in length. Lineage: Eukaryota; Metazoa; Chordata; Lepidosauria; Squamata; Lacertidae. The record is from Rfam by way of RNAcentral.